GAUGAACGCUGGCGGCGUGCCUAAUACAUGCAAGUCGAGCGAACGGACGAGAAGCUUGCUUUUCUGAUGUUAGCGGCGGACGGGUGAGUAACACGUGGAUAACCUACCUAUAAGACUGGGAUAACUUCGGGAAACCGGAGCUAAUACCGGAUAAUAUUUUGAACCGCAUGGUUCAAAAGUGAAAGACGGCCUUGCUGUCACUUAUAGAUGGAUCCGCGCUGCAUUAGCUAGUUGGUAAGGUAACGGCUUACCAAGGCAACGAUGCAUAGCCGACCUGAGAGGGUGAUCGGCCACACUGGAACUGAGACACGGUCCAGGCUCCUACGGGAGGCAGCAGUAGGGAAUCUUCCGCAAUGGGCGAAAGCCUGACGGAGCAACGCCGCGUGAGUGAUGAAGGUCUUCGGAUCGUAAAACUCUGUUAUUAGGGAAGAACAUAUGUGUAAGUAACUGUGCACAUCUUGACGGUACCUAAUCAGAAAGCCACGGCUAACUACGUG
RNAcentral lists this ribosomal RNA (497 nucleotides) under uncultured bacterium. Its description in RNAcentral is "partial 16S ribosomal RNA". It matches the Rfam family "Bacterial small subunit ribosomal RNA", at positions 28 to 507 of the family's 1533-position model. The record is from RNAcentral.